Molecule: unclassified non-coding RNA, 3873 nt
Filed under: Anthonomus grandis grandis
Lineage: Eukaryota; Metazoa; Arthropoda; Insecta; Coleoptera; Curculionidae
Description: uncharacterized LOC126735463
Source: RNAcentral
GUUCCUGUUUUGGAGUCGAGAUAUUUGUUUGUGUUUUGAAGUGAAGUUUUUGUCAGUGUAUGUACUUACACCUACCAAAAACAAAAUUAUACAAAUUAUAAUAAACAAUUAAAACGCUGCGUCCUAGUUUGGCUGUAGUUUGUUUACCUUGAAUAUUUCCAUAAUGGCUUUUGAGUGCCAUAUAAUAUGUAAAAAGUCUUUUGGAAAGAAAUCCAAUUUGAAAAGACACCUUGCAGAAGUUCAUAAACUAAAUAAGCCUUCUAGUAGUGAUAGUAAUAGAAAACUGGGAAACAAUUGCUGCUUGGAACAAGGAAAUGAUGACAGUCUUUGUGGCAUUAUUUUUUCAAACAUGAUAAAAUCUCUAAUUGAGCAUUUACAGAUCACUCAUAAUAAGAGCCUUAAUAUCGAGUUAAAUCAGAUGGAAAACAUGCAAGGUUAUACACCACUUUUCAAUGAGUGCAGAAAAAGACUGCAAAAAAGUCAAGGGUCAUGUAAAUUAGAGCACAACUGCACCAGUUUUAUUAAUGUGAAAAAUGAAAGUGGUGCCUUACUGGUUGAAUGGCAAAAAGAACAUUACGGCCACACAAACGAUUUGGAGCAUAUAAGAAUUCCUUCACAUGAAAAAGAAAGUAUUGCCUCCAAACUCAUAAGUGGAGUUCCUCCCCAAAGAUGAUGCAUUCUCAGUUGAGUUAUGGGUCAGAGAAUGUGAAGCCUGGGAUGUAAAUCCCGUUUUAUUUUAUAAGCGACAAGGGCAAGAACAUGCCAUUUUAAAGAAAGAAGAUUUUUGUCUUGUGAUUAUGAACAACUUUCAAAGGAAUAUGAUCAAAAAAUUUCAAAAAAUUAUUACUGUUGACAGCAUGCAUGGCUUGAAUUCAUAUGACUUUAAAUUGACCACUGUAAUGGUAAUAGAUGAAUUUCACCAUGGUUUUCCCGUUGCUGAAAUGUUUUCAAAUAGAAAGGAUACCACCAUUCAACAUCUCUAUUUUUCUCUUAUAAAGGAAACAGUAGGUGAAGUUUGUUCUGAAAUAUUCAUGUCAUAUAUGGACGGAACAUUUUUUAAUGCAUGGAUUAUGGUGAUGGGAGUAAAACCUGACCACUUGUUUUGCUCUUGGCAUGUAGACAGGGCAUGGCAAAGUAAUCUUACUAAGAUUGGUGAUAAGGAAAAGCGUGCUUCUGUUUAUAAACUGUUAAAAACUUUACAACAACACACAGUACUAGAUCAUUUUUCCUCAGCUUUAGCAAGUGCCAUUCAAAAUUUAUGCAGUGAUCCAAGCAUUAAAAAAUUUGGAGAGUAUUUUAAAAACACUACACUCAUAAUUAUAAAAAAUGGGCUUAUUGUUUUAGAGAACUUUCUUCCAUUAAUACGAAUAUGCAUUUAGAAUCAAUGCAUAGUCAUUAAAUAUUUUUACUUAGAGAGAAAAAAAACAGUGAAGCGUUUGGAUCAAGGGUUAAAUGUUGUCUUACAAUAUGUGAGGGAUAAGAGCAUUGAAAGGAUAAUAAGAUUGACUAAGGGAGAACAUACAAAAACUACAUCUAUAUUAUCUCGAAAUCAUUGGGAUUCAAUUAAAGAAAUGUGUCAAUAUUCCUUAUUAAAUUGUGCUAAUUAUUGGAAAAUUAAAAAAAAAAUUAAUACAUCCUCAUAUUGCACAUGUAAUCCAAAAGUGUCACUAUACGAAAAAUGUAAAUUUUUCAGGAGAGCAAAUUAAAGUUUUCGGCAAAAUGGAAAGACAAAUAACGGUGAUUAUAUUGAUAAUAAAUGAACGAUUUUUUUAUCACAGUGAACGAUGUUUUGGCUUUAACCAAUUUACUAAACAGAAAUGGAAAAUAAAUUCUUUUAUUUGUUUAUUUUUUAGUUUUUUGAUUUAUAGUGUCACUUUUUUAUUUAUUAUAUGCAAUAUUUUUAGAAUUCAGUCAAAAUUUUUCAAACCAUAAAAUUAAAAAAAAAAUUGAAAUAUGUAGAAAAGCAUAUUAUUAUAUUAAAUGAAACAUGAAACAUUUAUUUUUACACACAACUGCUUGAACAAAAAAUAAUGAAGGUAGGUACUUCUAAAAAAUAUUUUUUAUCUUAACUACUAACUUAACUUAAACCAACCAUCUAAAUGACCACUUAUGCACCGCGAACUUAACCAUAGCUUAAAAUUUAAACCAUCACUGUUAUUUUCCAUUCAAAUUCAUACAAAAUAGCUGUCGUUUACGUUUAAAUUUUAAACUACGGUUAAAUUUACACUGUGCCAAUAAAAGUUUACAUCACUGAUACAGAAAUGGCACUAAAGCCAAAUUAAUGGCUAUAAAAACAACUGCAAAAACAAAAAAUUAAUUCCUAAAACAAAAUAUUCAAAAACCUGGUAAAUAUAACAUAAACACAACUUUAAAUAUGGACAGCUUCUAUUAUGAAAAAACAAAAUAUUUUCGUUCGGUAAAUUAAAUAUAGUGGGUAAUUAUCAUUACAAAAUAUUAUUAUAAAAGGAGUGUACAUAGUAUUGAGGUAUUAAGGAAUUUUCAAAAAGACUUUUGAUGUCUUGUUUUUUUCGAUCAGACAAUUUUAAUCUUUCUGUGUAAAGUUUAUUUAAUUGAAAACUUUUGCGAUUUUGACGUGUUGAACGAGGCGCCCAACAACUAAGUUGCUUAAAAGUUUGGUCACUGUAUGAAGUUUUGUAAUAUAUUUCAAUUUGGGUUUGGCUAAACCCUCACUAAACAAAAAAUGUCACUAUUGCACAAGUCCUCGCCUACACGAUUAAUGUCACCACAGUUGCCCGCCACGAGUGUAUUAAUAUUGCGUAAGCCAUAAUGACACUUGCGCUAUCUAGAGGUCUCUAAUGUAAUUAUUCAAGAUAUUUUGUAUAGUGACACUUUUGGAUUACAUGUGCGAUAUUAUGAGGUUCGUCAAAAACUUGAUAAAAACUGUUGCCAAAUAACAAUUAUGUGCAAUUUGUAAAAUAUGUAACCAUUUGUAUUCAUGUACUUGUAAUAUUUUUGUAAAAAAACAGACUAUGUGUAAACAUAUUCAUAUUAUUAUUUCUAGCAUAAAUGCAAUGGAUAUUGAGGUAAAUGAGUAUGUCAAUUCAAAAUCGUCUAAUUCACCUGAAGAUAAGACUAAUCUUAUAUUAAGUCAUUUGAAGGAAAUUUCCCUUUCUUCCCUAAAAAUAACAGUCGAGGACACAAAUGAAAAAAUAAUUAAAAUAAAAGCUUUAACUGCUGAUUUAGGAAAUUCCACUUUUGAUGGACUUAAUGACUCGGUAAUAGAUCAAAUUCACCACUGUUUAAUUGUAGCUAAGAACUUAAAUAGAUUCCACGAGGAACCCUUAUUAAAUGAACAAUUUCAAGUAAAAAAUAAGCAGUUAAAAAGGGUUAUCGAACCCCAAUUAAGAUUUAGUUCCACCAAAAAGAAAAGGGUUGAAACAGCUACCAGCUUUAAAAGACCAACGACUCAAGAGGUUUUAGAUAUAAAAGAAAACCUAAAAUUUAAUAAUUCCUUUGAUCAUUUUAUUGCUAAAUCUGUAUCACCCUCACAUGAUCAUGAGUAUUUUUAAGUUUGUUAUGAAAUAAUUUCAGCCUAACAAUUAGACUUAUGUACUAUAUACAGGGUAAACUUGUGUAUCUGGGAUCUUGUUUGGAAAUAGUUUGCUGUGCGAUUUAGUAAUGUAGUGGUAGUAAAUGAUGUAGGUUUAGUUUUGUGAUGUUAUCAUUAGUUAGUUAGAUACAAUAAAACAUUUUAAUGUUAAAAAAAUUCCUACUAAAUGCUAAAUGUUUAAACCUUUUUUAUUUUAUUUAAAGAGUGUUCUACAAUAGAAUUAAUAUUUCAUUUUAUUUAUUAUAUUACAUUUUUUUAUAAAACAUACAAACAUGUGUAUUGUAAAUAAAAGAUAAAUAUUU